UUUUACAAGCUUGUGGACAUGUGGUGGUAUGUCCUCACCUGCUGUGUCACUGCAGUAACACCUGCUGCCUUUCAGUAACAGCAGAAACAUCUGACCUUCAAUAGCAGAGCUUUCCCAGCACCAUCUACUAGGUCCUUGGACCACUUGUUGGUUAAAGAGUAUUUCUCUGGACUCCAGCCCUAAAACCAUCCUUUGUGUGUAAGGAGGACAGAAUACCAUGCCAAGCCUGAAAAAAAAAGAGUCCUCUUCCAGUCUCAGCCCCCCUGCAUAGCUGUAUUUCUAUAAUGCAUAUGAAACAAGCCCUCCUUUGAAGGCUUAAAAAGGAGGGCUGAAGUAGCAGGGAGUUUGUGCGCUGCCAUCAUGCUACUGCUGCUUGUGCUUUUGGAAGGCCGCUUUGUAACCCAGGCGUGUUAGAGGCUGGAGAAGAGCAAGUCUGCCGGAGACGCCCCGGAGGAGCGUUCCCGGACCAGCGCGGCGAAGCGGCCUGAGCAGAACGCUGAGAGGGCAGCGACCAGCUCGAACGGCCAGUACGGCACGGCGAGGAACACUGCUAUAUGGAACGAAACGGAGGGAGCCUAUGGGAUCUAAGGAGGUAAGGCGAAGCCGGUGAGUUGAGCCGUUAACAUUCAUGCUAGUUGGUAUGACGGAACAGAUAUUUAAUACUGGAAAAGCUUUUUAUGAAGUAUAAAAAGAAAAUACGAAACAAAAAAAAAGGGAAGUUAAGCCAGUACUUCCACAACGGUGUGGAAAAGGGCCCUCUCUAGCUGCGAGUGGUGCACAGCGACAGGGGCUGUCACACGGCCGCUCACAAGUGAGUCAUCUGUGUCAACGCAGCUGCUGGCGGUGGGCAGGACAGGCGCUGAAUUUCCCAUGCAGCAUCGCUACCUCGCUGCUUUACUUCACGCGCAGCCUCUUCCCUACCCCCGUUCCCGAGAGCCAGCAGAACAGCUCCGGGAUGGAGGAGCCCCAGCCGGGCACUCGGGGGUGGCCGGAGCAAAUGCUGAAGUGUCAUCCUGCCACGGGCUCGCUGCUGCUGCCUGCGCACAGAGCCUGGGACAGCGCGUCCGGCAGCAGGGGCCGCGUCCCGGCCCCUCACCCGCACGGGGACCUCGGGGGCGCUUCCUGCGGAGCCUGGGGGCAUCUUCUCCUGGGGGCUUCUCCCUGCAUCGCCUGGAGGGGCUGCGUCACUGGUGAGUAACAGCUGCAGCCUCGCUGCCUGUCUCUGUGUCAGGUGCAGGUGGUGCCGACCCCGCACGACGGCCUCGCACCUCCUUUCUGCGCUCGGAGACGGAAGCGGGAGAGCGGCGCCGCAGAGAGGGAGGCUUCCUCCACCCCUGACGCAAGGCGCCCGGCUCCCUGCUCGCAGCAGGACGACUGCGCUCGCCUCGCCUCGCCUCCCUCCUGCCCUGCGCGCGCCCCGCUCCGGGCUGGGGCCGAGCUGCCUGCGCCCGCCGGGCUCUGGGCCUCCUUGGGAGCCGAGCUGGGAGCGCAGCGCCCGCUCGUGCCAGCGCAGCUCCGGCUCCUUGCAGCUUGGGCGACUGCCCAGGUCGUAAAUCAAUCACUGUCAUAACUUGCAUAUGAGUAUCAUGUUCCAUAUUGCAUCCAUAGAGCAUCAUUAGUUUAUUAACAGUAUGUACAU
Struthio camelus australis is the source of this 1639-nucleotide long non-coding RNA. NCBI's taxonomy places the organism in Eukaryota, Metazoa, Chordata, Aves, Struthioniformes, Struthionidae. The record is from Ensembl.